Drosophila nasuta is the source of this 5166-nucleotide long non-coding RNA. RefSeq lists it as uncharacterized. Lineage: Eukaryota; Metazoa; Arthropoda; Insecta; Diptera; Drosophilidae. The transcript has 3 exons. The record is from RefSeq and is a predicted model, not a curated record.
UCGCUGAUCAGCUGCUUAUAGUCGGUUGACUCGAACUCCGUCGUCUCGAUCCCAAGAAGAUCCUCCGGCGUCACACCCAACUCCUGUACGCUUCUUGAUAGCGUGUCCGCAACGACAUUCUCGGUCCCCAUUUUAAUCUGGAUGGUGAACGGAAAAGCCUGGAGUUCCAUUGACCAUCUGGCCAGUCUCCUAAACCUAAAGCUGUGGUAAGUGACUUCUUUAUUUGCUCCACAGCGUUGACGGCUACCUCACUUAACUGAAACUUCCCAUUAUUUUUCCUCGGAGCAUUUGUCAGUGGUACCGAGAUACCAAGAAGCUACGCAGUUUCUUGACCGUCAUUGGAGCAGGCAUGUUAUUGAUGGCCUCCACUCUGCUCGAAUCUAUGAUGAAACCUAAAUAAUUGAGGUUCCGAAAACAGAAUUUGGAUUUCGUUUCCUCCAGCUCAAUCUGUCAGAAGGCACACUUCAAAUCGACGCUUGAGAUGAAGUGCGUCUCAUCGAUUUACAAGAGAAUCCCUUGGAUGCAUGGAAUAGGAUACGCAUAUUUCAUCGAUUUUUGCAGGGCUUCAUGACGACCGUCGUUCUCCAUGAACUGUGGUUCUCUUUUAUGAUGGUUCGGUUCCCUCAAUUGGCUGUAUCCCCUGUUGUAACAAGUCCCACAUUUCCGGAUCAGAUACGACAACAUCCUCGCCCCGGUAAUAUUCCACUUCGACAGUUGUUACAUCAGUUGUCUCUCUGUGGUACAAGUCUCAAACAGAUUCGGAGCGAUGUCGAAAGCUCUCCAGAAGUCCAUGCCCAAAUAAACCACCUGUUUUAAGUCGGCGCACAUGAAGAAAACUAUCUGCUUCGAAUUGCCGCCAUAUGGUACUGACAGAUUGACUCGUCCCAGGAUCGGGCGACUGGCUCCUGCAGAAAUUGUGACCAUGGACGUGUACGGGGGCACAUUCCAAUUCAUCUUGCUAACAAGCUCUCGGCAUCCUCGUCCCAGCAGACUAACGGACGCGUCAGAGUCAAGAAGGCUUUUCAGAGCAUGUCCACCGAUGAUUAUAUCUGCAAAGAGUCGAGGAUCGGUGGUCUCCACACUUCGAACUCCUUCAUCGACUUAUCUCCUCGUUAGCCACCGCCGACGAAAACGAGCGCGUGCCUUUAUAACGCGUUUCGUGGCCAACGUCAUCUCUCCAAUCUGCCGCUCACCAAAAAUUCUAUUUCGGGCCGACAUGUAUUCCCGAACACGAUCUUAACACUAUGUAUUGUCCUCCAAUUGUUUUUGUUGGUAAGCCACUCCAGUUUCUGAUCGGGUCUUGCCUCCAAUGCGCCUGCCCCGGUCUCAUCGCGUUCGCCCAGGAGUUUCCCGGACAAUUGACGCAUUGCGGGCUAAACGUGUCGGGCUUGCCGCACCGAAAGCAAAAGAUGCUCCUCGUCCCGGACAUACAAUCCCGGAAACCGUGACCAGGUUGCCUGCAGUUCCAGCAGUUCCAACCGUCUCGCGGUUCUACGCAACCGUUUCCUCCACUUCCUUUGGUUGGACUCUUUUCGCGCAGAGGUGGGUUUUCAACCUCGUUAACUACUAGUUUGACUCCGUGCGGAUACCGAAUUCGUUGUCCCUGUGAUGAGCGCCCUCGACGACUCAUCUAUAGCCCCACUUCGAUACAUUCUUGGCGUAACUCGUCCACCGUGGGUAUUUCCAUGGCAUAUAUGUAUCUUGCCAAACUUUCCUUUAAUCCACUCUUUAUUAUUUUCACCAGCUCAAGGUCCCGGAGAUGUUUCUGGAAGCGCGAGGCUAGCCGCCGCAUGUUAUGAAUGUAGUUAUCGAUAUCUUCGCCAGACUGUUAUUUCUUCUGCAGUAGCUCCUGCAUGAUGUCAUGCUCAGUUUGGUAACCACGAAACCGGAUCAGCAUUGCUUGAUGCAAAUGGGUCCAGCUGGCCCAUUGGGACUGCUCCUGUGUUAGAUAUCGAUUUUUGCUGCGAAGAGGCGGGUCGACGCCCACUACUACCGUCCUUCUGCGGGCGGAUGAGCUCCUGCAUUAGCUUUAUCAUCUCCAUGAAGCCUGCGCUAAUCUCAUCGUGUAUCGGUGCCGCAAUCCCCUCCUGCAGUAAACUCCUUCAUCCUCGACUAUAGGACAGAAUCUGUCGACUCCGUUGGAUAGCUUUUCGGCCCUUAUCCGAUGCUUCAACCACAGAGCAUCGAGGAGGAGCAGUAGCAAGGCCUUCUUCUUAAAUUCUACGGUUGCCUCAUACUCCAGGAUAAGCAGCGAGCGUAAUGCUAAAUUGGUUACUGUUUCAGUUAUACAGUCGGGCUCCUCCUCGUUGGCUGCGUCGUCUGACGUUCGCUGUCCCACGUCGUUGGUGCUGCUCCGGCUGGUGGUGAGUGGCGUCUGUCGAUGCGACGGCUAUCGGCACUCGGGCCUUGCUCCAACGGUGAUAACUGCCCGUUGAGUGUCCCGCGCCAUUAUAUUUUUAAAUGUUGCCUUCGCAAUAUGAAGAAAGAGUACAAAAAUCGUCCAGCACGAUCUUCAGACCGACAUCGCUCGCGAUUCGACUCCUCAAUCAAAAAUUUAAUAUGCUAACCUCUAGUGAAAAAUUUUGACGCUCCUUUUUACUCUCCUUGCUACGUGAAGAGCAGCUCAAAAAAACCUCUAUUAUCGCCUUGCGAUACUCCAGAUAUCAAUAUCUCCCCAAUACCAAAAUAGGCAACACUGCUGGCACAAACGAUAAACAAAAACGUAACAGUUUUCCAAGCUCUAAUACAGAUAGUAUUUUCGUUAUGUUCUUACAAUUAUUUGUAAGGGUCCAGCGAUUCUGUGUGUUGCUCGUUUUCGCUAUUUUUUAUGCCCAUGUCUUCGAUAUUUAUAUCCUGUUUGGGCUAGGCUGCAUCAUUGAAAAUUUCCGUUUCGUGGAAUCUUCCGUCGCAUCAUCCACACGCGGUUAUGUCGCCAUCGAUAACACUCAUUUUUCGAUUUAAAAAAAUACCACUAUCAUAUGUUAUUCAAUUUGUAGUCACACUUUCCGAAUAAUUGAAGAUGCGACUCAUACUCUAUUUUGACCCGCGCAUUUGCUUUAAUUAUGCGACUCUGAGAUGCAUUUGUUUAUACCAAAGUCCCGUCUUUCGAAGAGCUUAUUAGGGGUACAUAACGAAACCAAAUCAAGCGGCAGCGCGCCAAUAUUGGUAUGCACGUAAAGUUUUUCUGCUGCGCGACCUGAAAACCUGCCCAAGGUUGGGUCUGGCCAAUAUAUUGUGGUGUGCGAGUUUCAAUAUAUUUAUAUUUUUAUACCCGCUACCCAUAUGAUGUAUCACACAGCCAGAAGGCUUCUCCGACCGUGUAAAGCAUACUUGAUCAGCGUCAAAAGCCGAGACAAUAUAGCCAUGCCCGAUCUCACCUAGAUCUCAGAGAAUAUAAGAGAUAGAGAUAUAUUGUAGGCAAAUCAAGUUUGUUUUAUAUUUUGCCACACCCACUUCCGCCCCUGCAAAACGACAAAAAUCGAAUAAAACGUGUAAUUUUAGUACAAACAAUAAUAUCUAUAGUCUUAAAGUUUGGUUGCGAUGAGAUUAAAAAUAUCGAUAAUAUUUUUAUAGCCGCUACGCAUAAGGGUAGAAGGGAAUUAUAACUUUGUGCCGGCAGGAAAUGCAUGUAACAGGUAGAAGGAUGCAUCUCUGACCCUAUAAAGUAUAUAUUCUUGAUCAGCAUCAACAGCCGAUACGAUCUAGCCAUGUCCGUAUGAAACACGGGAUCCCAGAGAAAUAGAGCAAUAAUUUUAACGCACAUUAAGUCUGUUUCAAAUUUUUGCCACGCCCACUUCCGCCCCAACAACAAUCAACAAAAAUCGAAUAAUAAGCGUAAUUUUAAAGCUAGAAUUAUGAUAUAUACAAUAAUAAUUAUGGUAAUUAUAAUUCCUAAAAAUUUGGUUGCGAUUAAAAAAAAAUUGUCGAUGUUAUUAAAAAAAUACUUUUGUAUGGGCAAAAACGCCUACUUACUAGGGGACUUGGUUGCUUUGGCCGAUAAUCUGGUAUAUUGCGCCGUCUAUGGUAUAUUUUGAAUGUGGUACUAUAUCGAUAUACCAAAUAUACCGUUUGGCAUAUUUUUAGUAUUUAUGUUGUAUUUUCGGUAUAUUUUGAAAAUAAAACCGCAAUAUUUUGCUUUUAUUCAAAAUGGGUUGCCGGUAUCUCACAGUCGAGCACAAUCGGCUGUAGCUUUCUUACUUGUUUAAAGAUGCUUUCGAUGUCGGUCUUCCACGAGUAAGAAAUUAUCGGCCUUUUAGCUCAAUAGUCUCAUGAUCGCUGUGCGACAAAACGUGACGAGGUGUGUCCCUUGGACCGAUAUAUUCGUUGAUUGCCAACAUGCUAAUGGAUGUAUUUUAUUUCACUUUCUUUGAGUAAUCUAUUCUAAUUCUUUCAAAGUCUGACGCAUCUGGGGUACCCGCCACUAAUGUCAAUAUAAUACCUAGUAGGCGUAAUUUGUCAUACAAAAGUUGUUCUUUAAUAACUUCUACAAUUUAUCCGAUCACAACAAAAUUCUCUGGAAUCUUACAUACUAGAGUUAUUAUUGUCUGUACCAAAAUUCUAUAUUUGUUACAUACAUUUCCUGCCGACACACGUGGAAAAAACAGAGAUUUUUUUGAGUUUUUAAAUGAGUCAAAUGUAGAAUUUGAACUGAACUGAAACGAACCAAGAAAUACAUAGCUUUUUGGUGCUGUGCAAACAGGGCAUUAGCCUUUCGAACGCGUCAUAUUCUGUCUCACUAAAGCUAAACGAGGUUUACAAGUUGUUAUUUCUGACAAAGUUGUUAUUUCUUUUUUUCGAACGCUGAAGGAGAGACUAAAUAGAAAAAUUAUACUGCUAGAACCAUGUAUGCUAUUAACUGUAAAUUGGGAGCUAACUUGUACUACUCUUUUUAGAUCCUUUACGGGCUUAACUACGUUUUGACUACUGCUGUUGUCUUUCGAUAAAAAGGCAAGCGGAACCAGCCCCGAAAAAUAAGGCGACUCAUCUUCAACGGCUACAGCUGCCGAAAUAAGCUCUUGACAAGAUUGAAAACUUUGUUCCUCUGAUGAUUAUGCUACCUAUUGCCUUCUGAAGCUGUACUCACCUCCAUGGCUUUAGCAUAGAAGUUCGCGAAAAAACUUCUCUCAAAGCUUGCCUCGGCUUCUAUGGCUAAGGCCAACGCACUUG